CAGCAGGGAUAAAGAACUCAUCUGGAAACUAGAAAGACUUGAUUCAAGGCUUCCCUCUAACACAGACUAGCUGGGCCACCAUGGGCAAGUCACUUGACAUCAUGGUUCUUUAGGCAACUAAGACUUUACAAAUUGCAGAGAAGAUGCUGACCUGUAUUAAUAGGGAGUUUUCUCUUCUAGGAGUUCUUUCUCAAUGAAAUUACAGCUGUUCAGUUGAAAAUGUCUGGCAUCUGGAAAAGAGAAUUGUUACUGGAUACCUCCAUCUUGAUAACCUUAAAUAUUCACUUAUAAGAGAUCAUUUUCAGAUAAGGAAACUGAGGCUAACAAAGUUGCAUGAUUUGUCAAGGCACCCAGAGCUAUGGUGGCACAUCACACAACUGUGUAGCAGAACCAAAUCCAAUCUGGCCUCAGACAUCAACUCUGCAGGUCUGGAAGAAGCUGGGCAGCUACUAACUCUCUAGCAAUAGGAUGUGGGCCCUGUUACUCCAUAUCGCUCCUGCCGGGCAAUUUGUGCAA
RNAcentral lists this long non-coding RNA (516 nucleotides) under Monodelphis domestica (gray short-tailed opossum). RNAcentral's name for it is "lncRNA (ENSMODG00000038035.1)". Lineage: Eukaryota; Metazoa; Chordata; Mammalia; Didelphimorphia; Didelphidae. The record is from RNAcentral.